AAAGUAUAUAUUUCUCGCUCACCGACCACGCUUCCCCUUCUAUGUAGAUCUUAUAUCUGAAUGCCAAAUUUCAGAUGCAAACAAAUGAAAAUCAAUAUAGCAAAUUAACAAAAUAUGAGAAUAUACGUGAUUUACAAGAUAUAUUUUAUAUAUACACACAUACCUGUGAGUGCAUUGAUCUUCUAGGUUUGAUCCUUUAAACCCCUUCUUGGUCUCAUUUCUCCAAUCCUGAAACAACAUGUGAGAGUGAGACAAGGACUUCUAGGUUUGACGUUAUAUAAAUGCCUACAUGGUAUACACUUUAACAAAACGAACCUUAUCUAGACCCAAAAUGAAACUCACUCGUUAUUUGAGAAUGCAUGUAAAUUAUGAAGUCCAAUUUCAAGAUUCAGUGACAAUUGGUUUCAAAAUGGAAUACACAUUCAAACUUAUAGAGAUGGGAGAUGUUCUUUCUUUUUUGAAUGACUAGAAAAUUUUGGAUCCGAAAGCCCGUACAUUUAGGGCGAGACUCCCACCAUGUUCAUGUUGAGAUGAAGAGAUCAAGCUAUAUGAAAGAAGGAUAUCAAAGGCACCAGACUUGAGAAGUUAGGCACCAGACUUGAGACUGUUGCUAAGGCACCAGACUUGAGAAGUUAGGCACCAGACUUGAGACUGUUGCUACAGUACUCGGCCCAGAAAGGAAGAAGCCCAUGACAGCCUUUCUCAAGCUCUUAAAACCCUUGUAUCCUCUCUAUAUAAACUUUAUAAUCUCUUCAUUAAGAUUCAAGCAAGAUAAUAAAAAGUCUCUGGUCAUCUUUGAAUUCUCUCUCUAGCCUUUAAUCUCAUUUCCAAAUUUCAUUAAUCUCCAAUCUCUAAUCUCUUUAAUAAUCCUCUCAAAUCUCUUUCUAAUCUCAUUUAUUAUUCAAGAUGUCUAGAAAUCUUAGUUCAAGCACGGCCUGUAUACCCCAUAUGAUAGGAGAUGUUAUACACAUACCUGAGCAUAAAGUCGAAGCAUAGGAUCAUACUUGUCGGAGAAGUUACAUCUCAUGAGUUCUUUUCUUAUCGGAGUAGAAACAUGAGGGUUUCCUUUCCAAUAAGCGUACGGAAUUCUAUCUUUCCAUUUCACCCUUUUGUUCCCUUCUUGAAGUGCCACAGAUAACUUCUUCCACUCCUUUAUAUUCACCUCCGGCCUAUGGAAAACAUACUAAUAUUUACAUACUUUGGUGGUUACAACUUACAUGCCUACACUAUCAACCAGACUUAAAAAAUAUAAGUAGAUUUUAUAACCAAUUUUUUUAUUUUUUAAUAAAAUAUUAAUAAUAAUUAGAAUUUAAUUAUUUAUUUAAAAUGAGAAUUUUUGAAAAAAAAUAUCAUUUAUUAUUGUAAAAUAGUUAACAUCUCUAAGAAAUUAUUUGCGACAGUGCAUUAUAUUUAAAUGAUGUAAACUGUAACUGUAAGUAGUGACUAAUUUAUUUUUAACGAAAAUUUUAGUGAUAAUUAAAUAAAAUGUAUUUUUUUUUAAAUCACACAGAAAAGCAAUUUAAACAAUGUUUUAUAUUUUGACAACCAUUAACGUGAGACAAAAGAAAAAAAAUAAAAA
Long non-coding RNA from Brassica rapa (field mustard), 1579 nucleotides. RefSeq lists it as uncharacterized. The record is from RefSeq and is a predicted model, not a curated record. Lineage: Eukaryota; Viridiplantae; Streptophyta; Magnoliopsida; Brassicales; Brassicaceae.